Long non-coding RNA from Rosa rugosa (rugosa rose), 324 nucleotides. RefSeq lists it as uncharacterized. The transcript has 3 exons. The record is from RefSeq and is a predicted model, not a curated record. NCBI's taxonomy places the organism in Eukaryota, Viridiplantae, Streptophyta, Magnoliopsida, Rosales, Rosaceae.
GGGGUUGAACAUGUUAACCUCAUUGAGGCGUGAAAAUUUAGUGAAAUUGAGGGGAUUUUGUUGCUCAAGUGGUCGUGGAGAGUGCUUUCUCAUUUAUGAAUUUAUUCCAAAUGGAAGUUUGUUGCGAUAUCUUGACGUCAAGGAGGGCGACAUCAAUGUUCUUGAAUGGUCAAUAACUAGAGUUUCUAUUGUGAAGGGCAAUGCCUAAUGGAACCUGAUGCAAUGUAACUUCUUUAAUUAAGGCAUAAAAAAAUUUGGCAGUCAACAUAUAGCAUUGGAGGGCAGUUACAAGGAAGAAUUUGUUCAAGGAAUUUGACAACCAUC